UAUAUCUACAGCACAGAAAUAACAAAGGAUAUAGCUAUCUUUCUGCCAAAAAAUAGUGAUUUAUAUCAGAUAAUUGAGCUUGCAGGAUUUGGAAACGGUGUUGAUAUUGAAUACUGCUUAAUGGGACCCAAG
Penaeus monodon (black tiger shrimp) is the source of this 132-nucleotide long non-coding RNA. RefSeq lists it as uncharacterized. The transcript has 2 exons. NCBI's taxonomy places the organism in Eukaryota, Metazoa, Arthropoda, Malacostraca, Decapoda, Penaeidae. The record is from RefSeq and is a predicted model, not a curated record.